GGCGGCGCCCAGGUGAAAUGUCGUUUGUCGCGGUCCUCUUCCAUGGCGUUUGAUAAUUCAAGUUCUCUGACGUGCUUAUUUCAUUGUUCAUAUUAUUGUGUCAAUCACUGAAAGAGGAUCAGCAUCCUGGUGAUCUCUUCCAGGAGGAAAAUGACUACACGGUCAAUAAAAACAGGGUGAAGAAAAGAUAACAAAUUCUAUUAAAGGGGUCAUCAAGCAAAAUGAGAACUAUCUGGUUAUCCUUCCACGGAAAAGGCAAACACCACCAACAUGGUCAACAAGUUAACCUCUGCCGCUAUUCCAUGGACUGAAUCCAUUGGUGGAAACUUACGACAAAUCAGUGACAACUGACUAACGGGCUGUCAUUCAGCAAUACUUUUCACAUGCGUGCCAUCCUUCCGUCGCCCCAAGGCACGGGGGAGUUGUGCCUGCUCCAGCUAUACGAGGCCAGGAUAAUUUGACUACCCAGCAACCGACGGUCUGGUGGGCCAACUCACCCAUCACUGACUCCAACUACCCCUGCUCUCAAAUGACCAAAGGACGACGAUUUUGUUCUAAACUACAGAUUUCUAAAUUUGCAUGACAGAAUUUCUGAGAAGUCAUGUGCUUUGAAAGAGAAAAGACAAAAACUACAGUCAACAAGGUCCCUUGUUUGGUAACCUGUUGGCUGCCACCAUAUCUCCCUUUUUACUUCCUUCUCGACUUGAGGGUAACUCCUUUGCUACUUAUCAUGGACUUCAUCCAUUGGUGAAAACGCAAGAUUGGUGAAAGCGCAAGGUGUCAAUGUGUUGUCCAAAGCUAAUGUUGAGGGUGCAAUUUUGGAAGACUACAAGGUCACAUUGACCUUAAACGAUGGUCAAAAGAUUUAAACUGACCAUGUCGUCGCUGUUGUCGAUUGGGACGCAAAAUUCACGGAUUUGGCUGUCGUUUCUGGUUCGGAAAUAGAUUUCCAUUUUGGUGGUUAUCGAGUCAAUACCGAGCUUGAAGCACGAUCGAACGUCUGGUUGGCUGGAGAUGUUACGUCUUUUUGUGAUAUCAAAUUGGGUCGUCUUCGUACGGAACAUCAUCACUUUGCUGUUGUAUCAGGGCGAUUGCUGGAGAGAACAAUACUGGCAACGAAACAUGGAUGAACAACUGCAGUGCACUGUCACCAAGUUCAUUCUUCGUGACGUCGUAUUAUCAGUACGCAAUCGGUAUCGUGCUGUUGCCGUUUGUCGUAUCGUUGAAGGUUGGGUCGAUCACUGGUGUACUCGUGGCUCCUGGGUAUGGCGGAUACCAAAGCACCACGCCGCCGCCUUGCUACACAACGACAACAUUCGCACCAACCGGUUACUACACUGAGGACCACAAUUACUACACCA
This 1361-nucleotide long non-coding RNA is filed under the name Daphnia pulex (common water flea). RNAcentral describes it as "uncharacterized LOC124191920, transcript variant X2". Lineage: Eukaryota; Metazoa; Arthropoda; Branchiopoda; Diplostraca; Daphniidae. The record is from RNAcentral.